Monodelphis domestica (gray short-tailed opossum) is the source of this 1180-nucleotide long non-coding RNA. RefSeq lists it as uncharacterized. NCBI's taxonomy places the organism in Eukaryota, Metazoa, Chordata, Mammalia, Didelphimorphia, Didelphidae. The record is from RefSeq and is a predicted model, not a curated record.
UUUUAUUUUCCCCAAAUCACACAUGAAACCAAUUUUAACAUUAACUUUUAAAAAAUUUGAGAUCUAGAUUCUUUCCCUCUCUCCCAUCCUCCACCUUCCCUAAGAUGGUAACACAAUCUGAUAUAGAUUUUACAUGUGCAAUCAUAUAAAACAUUUUUCCAUAUUAGUUAUUCUGUUGAAGAGAUCUCAAGUGAAUAAGUGAAUAAGAAAGAAGGAAAAGUCAAACAUAGAAAUAUAAUUUCAGUCUGCAUUCAGACUCCAUCAAUUCUUUCUUGGAGGGUAGAAGACCUUUUUCAUCAUGAGUCUCUGAGAUUGUCUUGGAUCCUUGCAUUGCUGAGAAUAACUAGAUCAUUCUCACUUAUUCAUAAAAAAAUAGUGCUGUCACUAUGUACAAUAUUCUUCUGGUUCUCCUUACUUCAUUUUGCAUCAGUUCAUGUAACCCUUUUUUGGGUUUUCCUGCUUGUCAUUUCUUUUAGCAUAAUAGUAUUCCAUCACAAUCAUAUAUCACAACUUGUUCAGCCAUUCCCCAGUUGAUGGAUAACCUCUCAAUUUCCAAUUUUUUGCUACCAUAAAAAGAACUGUAAUAAAUAUUUUUGUACAGAAUAGGUCCUUUUCCUUUUUAUAUUUGUAUCUCUUGCUCAAAAUUCUUUUCUAUUAUAGGGUUAUUCUGUUCAUAUAUAUUCUACAAGGAGUCAUGGUCAAGAUUUCAGCAAGAAGCAAUAUUAUCAUCACUCCCUGACAAACCAUUCCAUAAUUGUAUCAUACCCAGUACUGGAAGACACAGAAAUAAGGAAGACCCUCUCCUCAGAGAGGUCUACUGGGGCAAGGAGGAGAUAAGAUAAGGAGAACAAACAACUAUUGCCAUCAGAAAUGAAGGAGAUAGUUGCAGAGAAAACUGGGAAGAUUUGUAUGAAUUGAUGCAAAAUGAAUCUUGUUUUAAUAGAUGGAGCCAUACCACUCAUCAAUUUUCAAACCAAGUACUGAAAACUUUCCCAAAUACCAAGAUAUAACAGAAGAAGUCAAAGUCAUGUGGGAACAAGAUGAACUGGACAUCAGCCCUUUCAAACUCUCUGCUAACUGUCCCAAGGACACUUUUGAGUCCAAUGCCAAAGCUGAGGGGUCCUGGUUCUGGUUUGUUGGACAAUUGGUAAACAUUGCUUAAUAAAUCAAUAUGCUCAGA